RNAcentral lists this ribosomal RNA (254 nucleotides) under uncultured bacterium. RNAcentral describes it as "partial 16S ribosomal RNA". It matches the Rfam family "Bacterial small subunit ribosomal RNA", at positions 524 to 776 of the family's 1533-position model. The record is from RNAcentral.
GACGUAGGGGGCAAGCGUUAUUCGGAAUUAUUGGGCGUAAAGCGCUCGUAGGCGGGACUGGAAGUCCGUGUUGAAAGACCUCGGCUCAACUGAGGGACCGGCUCGGAUACUCUAGUUCUUGAGGCAAUCAGAGGGUGAUGGAAUUCCCGGUGUAGCGGUAGAAAUGCGUAGAUAUCGGGAGGAACACCAGUGGCGAAGGCGAUCACCUGGGGUUGUUCUGACGCUGAGGAGCGAAAGCUAGGGGAGCAAACGGG